Zootoca vivipara (common lizard) is the source of this 674-nucleotide long non-coding RNA. RefSeq lists it as uncharacterized. The record is from RefSeq and is a predicted model, not a curated record. Lineage: Eukaryota; Metazoa; Chordata; Lepidosauria; Squamata; Lacertidae.
UUCACAGGAUUCCUCCAGGAAAACUAGGCUAUGUCGAGUCCUGUGCAUUCAGAGACUCCUUGUCUGAAGCUCCGCAGCUUAUUGGGUUGAACGCAUGCAGUCUGAACAUUACACCAACAUCUCGCUCUAAGCCUUUGCUUUGCACAGCUAUUCGGCGCCCUGGUUUUACCCACUGCAAUCACCAAGCCACGCUGUGUCCUUGAAUAACGUAUGGACUUUGAUUUUAAAAGUUGACUAGAACCGCAAGGGGAGCUGUAUGUGCGUGCGGAUAUUAUUGGUGCUGUAUUUGCAUGAAUCUAUACAGUUGAAACUGGGGAAACAGUUUAUAUAGAGCUUAAUCAUUUUGCACAUCAAUAGUAGCUUUGUAGAUGCCUGCAAUUCCAGGAAGCUGUGCAGUGCAACAUUUCAUGAUGCUAGAGCGCUGUAGGCUGGGAGGAGAUCGUGCCAAGCAAGCCCAUGUCAUUUCAUGGUGUGCUUUGUUCAGUUGGAAAGGACCCCAAGGGUCAUCUAGUUCAACCCCCUGCAAUGCAGGAAUAAAACAUGAACACAAAAGCGUCUGGACCGAAUGGAGGCAAUGGGGCUGUACGAUUUGCUUGAGAGGCACCUGCUCAAACAAACAAGGCUGAAUCUAAGCGAAACAUUGUCAGUGCGUGACACCGUGAACUUCCCUGCAG